CAGAAUUGAGCUACCAUUAACGGUGGUGAUGGAAAUCCUCUCAAAGCUUCCAGUUAAAUCCCUCAUACGUUUCAGGUGCGUUUGUAAGCCGUGGUGUUCUUCUUUUCAAACCUCUCAUUUCAUUACCAAACAUCAGCAUAACGACCUCAAAAACAACAACCUUAAUCUCCUCCUCAAACGUUGUCAUGGUAACACACGUGAUGACAUCCAUUAUUUCUCUGCACUUUCAACUGAAAAAGGCCUAAACUUUUUAGUAAAAGAGAACAUCCACUUACCCUUUUUUCAGAAUUGUUGGUUUGCUCCUGUAGUUUCUGGUCCUUCUAAUGGAUUGCUGUGUUUAACAUGACGCGGUAGGUUGCCCUGUUGGAACCCAUCAACCAGAGAGUUUAAAAUCCUUCCUCAAUCCUCUGUGAGCGCCCUCCUUCCGUAGAUUCCACUAGUUUUGGUUGCCUUGGGUUUGGGUUUGAUUUCUAAACUGAUGACUACAAAAGUGUAAAGAUUUGUUAACUAAUUAUUUUGAGGAGAAUGAAAGAGGAAGGCUUUCUAGCUGAUUGGAACCACCAAGUGAGUUGUAUUCACUUCAAGUGAUUCCUGUGAAGGAAAUUUCAGUUUCCUGAGGCACAUCCUUAUGGUUUCCUUUUGUUUAAUAAUUACAAUAAAUGGUUUUUUAUUUUAUUGGCUGGGGGCAACUGGGAUUCUGAUUACCUAUUCUUUUUCAUUUGACAUGGCUAAUGAAAACUUUCAACUUUACCCCUUGCCAAGUUUGGUGGGUCUUUAGCACAAUAUUAUUUGCAACUUCUGGACUUUAAUGGAUUGCUUGGUGCUAUUGUUUACCUAAGGGAGGGAAACUGAAAUGUCGUUUGAUUUAUGGGUUAUGAAUGGAUCAUGACUAGACAUUUAGUAUUGAAUCUGUUUCUGGAGUUGAGAGGCCAUUGGGUUUUUGGAAAAAUGGUGAAUUGUUUCUUGGGGCUCAAAUCAUGAACUAGUGUUGUUUGAAUCCUGCACCCGAGAGCUUAAGAAUCUUGGUAUCCAUGCUUAUCAGAAUACAAUGCAGCUUAUUCCUUAUGUUGAGAGCUUGGUUCCAAUCAAUGGAACAUCAGAGCAUGAGGAACAUAUAAUACGUCAGCCGGCUGGUAGAUAUUGAAAAGGAAGAGGGAAAGGGAAAUAGAACAAAAGGGCUAAGAAAAAAUGGUAAUUUUUUUUUCUCUUGGUAAAUACUUAUGCAGUUGAUAUUGACUAUGUUCCCUUGUGAGCUUCUCCAAUAAUGCUGUUAUUGUUUGGAUUUUAAACAAAAGUGUUAAAUAUUCUGUAAAAACCUAUAUGUUAAUGUCAUGUGACAAAAAAUAAUUGAUCUCAUCAUAUUUUUUUAUGGUUUAGAUAAAAAAAUUAUAUACAUAUAUUUAAUUUAUAUUAAAAAAUUUUUGAUAAUAUGUGAUGAAUACAUAAUUUGAUAAUAUUUGUCAAACGAUGCAUGUAUAAAUCAAUAUGAUAAAUAAGAAUAAAGUUUAGGUUAAUAUAGUAUAUAAUUUAAAAUUUCGGAGUUUAUAAAUUUUAUAUUAUUUGAAAAUUCAAAAUAUAAAUUGUACAUUUUAUUUCUUGGCUAUCAUUUGGUACAUUUUUUUAUCAAAUUCAGAUAUAAAAAUUGUGAUUAACUCUUUUUUUUUUUUUUUCAAGUCAAAGUUAAAAGUGUAGUACAAAGAGGCUUACCGGGUGAAUAACCUAUUAGUCUAUUUGUCUUAUUUUCUUGUAUUCAAAAAAUAAGUUCAGAAAAUAAAAUAUCCUAAUUUUGAAUAUUUAACUUUCGGGUAAAGUACAUAAUUUAUCAUGAUCGUAUUUUUAAAAUAAUUAUUUAAUUAUUAAAAUUUUUAUUUAGUUACUAAAAUUUAAAUAAUUAAUUUUUUCAUUUAAUCAUUAAUCUCUAAAAAUAUACUAACAUGAUAAUACUUAAUCAAUUACCAAUUGUCAUGUGAAAGCACUAAAUCAUUAAAAGAAAAAAUGUAUUUUUAUGUAUUUAUAAGCGGAUCUCGAGGAAGUAAGCAAGUUAUUAUAUAUAUAAAUCCCAAGACGUCGGCAAAGAUUGUCGAAGCGCAGAAGGAAAAGGUACAUUUCAUAAUUAUCCUAUUUAAUUUUUUUUCCUCUAAUUUCCCAGCAGUUUUAAGUUGAAUUUUGUUGUGCAUUGUGUUUGAGUAGCUUCCUUCUCAGCAGUAGAUACAUAAAGUUGAAGGGACUAAUUUAGGGAUAUUGCAUUUUGGAUGGUUUUUGCCACGAGCUCUUUAAAUCUCUCGGGAGGUGCCAUUGCUCUCCAAAAUUUGCUUUGCAUAGAUUUAGCAAAAACCGUUGUCCUAGCGUUGUCCUCCAUACGUAUAACUUAAAACUCUUAGUAAUAAAUUUUAACUAAUGAUCUUGUUGGACCCAAUAAGUCAAAAGGCCCAAAAUAUCAAGGUUGAGCCCAAGAAACCUGCAGAGGAAAAGUCAAACAGUUAGCUUCCUAAACGUCACCUGCAACUAACUGUAAUUAAAUUAUUAUAUUUUAUAUACUAUAAAUUAUUAAAUUAUUAAAUCUACCAAUAUUAUAUCAUAUUACAUGUUCUUUUAAAGAUUUGACUUACACUUUACUUGUCUUAACUCGAUAAAUAUAACAUUAAUUGGGUUCGUGUCAUGCAUAAAAUAUAUAAAAAAACUCCAAAUACGGGGUUGGAAGGUGAGGGCAUCUCCAUUCCCAACAUUUCAAGCUAAUUUCAAGCUUUGUUUACUUUCUUCUUUGUUCAAAUACUUACUUGAAAAUAGAAACGUGUCUCAAAAUUUUAAUUCCAUGUUCCUUUGACUUCUUUUAUAGGUCGAACAUGUCCUCAAUCAAGUCGCGUAUAGACUUCAACCCAUCAAACCCCAAAAACACAUGAACAGAUCUCAUCUGUAGCCAUGCAGUGAGGCAAAUUAACAAAUUUACAAAAAAGACAACCAUGUUUGGUACGGGACACAACGAUUUUGAAAAAAGAUAAGUAAGGUAAAUUAAUAAAUUCACAAGAAGACAAACAUAUUUGGUAUGAAAUAAGCCACAAGAAAAUUAUUCUUACAAGAAUAAACAAAUGUGUAUCUAAGAUCAUUUUUGCAAUAAACAAACUUAUAUAUAUAUAUAUAUAUAUAGAAAAAUGAGUAAAUUUUUCUUAAGAAAAAUUCUAUCUCGAGAUAUUAUUAUUCUAAAUCCGACAACUACCAUUAAUCGAAAAUGGGUGCGUAACAAAUGUGAACAAUUUUUGUGUGAGGUUACGUUUGAUAGGAGGAAAUUAAGAAAUAAACAAUAUAUGCAAAAAAAAUGUCCAAGGAAAAUUGAGGAAUAAUGUGAACAACCUUUAGACCUUAAGUUUCCUAAUGAUAACAGAAACUAAAGAAAAAAAAUGGCAGCCUAAAGAUAGGAGAAUAGGUUGCAAUUUAAUGGAAAAAAAAUUGUAACUUAAUGAUAAAAAAAAAUUGUAGAUAUUAAAAUUUAAAUUUUAAAUAUAUUAAAUGUUAAUUUUAAGAUAGAUUACAUAAACUAAUUGAAUUAAAUCUUGAAUUCAAAUUGAACAGACCUUUUAAUGAUACUCUCUUAUAAGUAAGAUUCAUAAUAAUCAAUAAAACAACCUUCCCUAAUUGCAAGAACUCUCUAAUGACAUAUUAAAAACAUGUAGAAAGGUAAAUUAACAAAUGCUCAAAAAAAAAAAAGACAAACAAGUUUGGUAGUCAAUAAGCGACAAAAAAUUCUUUGGAUGGACGAUAUUUAAAAUCGAUUGAGAACCAAGACACUGUCAUUCUGAUCAAGCAAAACUACUUAAUAAAUACCAUGUUCACAUAAAAAUCACAGCCAUGAUAGAUGCUGCUCACAUGCAUGAACUGAUCUCUAAUGAAUUUUUUCAAACUUCUCUAAAUUUGCUAUGAAUUACUAUUCGUUGUUGUCCAAAAUAUGAUUAACCUCCUCUUUCAAAAAAAUCCAAAAAAAAAAAAAAUUGUAUGAAAAAGAUUUUGUUUAUCUCAUUAUAUCUAGGGAAAAUGAGCUUAUAGUUUACUAAAAUAGAAAUCUAGUCAUGAUACAUUAAGUUUUAAUAAAUUAAGUAGGUAAACUAUUUAAUCAUAUGAGAUUUAUCAUGGUCAAAAUAAAAAGUUAUAAAAUCACUUUUAUUUAUCAUGUCUAACAUCGAUCUACUACAUUUAGGAUUAAAUUUAAAAUUUUGUUUUCGGGAUACUCCUUAAAAAGAUCAUAUCUUGAUUAAUAAGAAAAAUGAACUUCUAUCAUUAUCAAUUAAAUUAAUCCUUGGGGGUUGUCCAUAUGCAAAUUAUGAAAAUGUGAUAAUUAAUGUAAUUGUCUAAGUAAAAUGAAAUCUCACUACCAUGUAGAGUUCCAUUGUACACGGAUAUUAGUGUUAUCAAAAUCGCCCUCUUGAAUAAUGCAAUAGACAACCAUAUAGAGUUGUUGAGUGUUAGUAGAAAGCAAAAUUGGUACUGCUUGUAACAAUGCCGUCGUAUUUAUGAGCGGCUGCUGCUAUGGUCGCUUGUGUCUCAGCCUGGUUUGGAUUAAAUCUACAGCCAUUUACCUUGAACACCCUCAGGCUCCAGCAACAAUUUGCUACCACAACAGCUCCGAAAGCACCGCCAGGGCCGUUCACCUUCCACAAACUCAGUCUGCAAUGGCCACCUGCUGCAUGUAACUCUGGCCAGAUGACUUGCAAACCACCUAUCCCUCGCGAAUUCACCAUCCAUGGUAUAUGGCCACAAUAUAGCAAUGACAAUCAAGUGCCCCCUUACAAUCCAAUUACAAAUCGUUGUACCAAUGUCACACCUACUCCUGCCAGUAAUCUCCUAGUACGCACAUGAUCAUAUUAUCAAUAUUUUAGAAUUUUUACUUUCCUUUAUCUGAAAUUAUAUUAAUUUGUCAGUUAUCUAACAAAAUUUUCUGCCCUUCUUUUUUUUUCCUUGUAUAAAAGAAUGAGCUGAAUCCAAUUCUAAACAACUUAUCAUCACUAUGGCCUAACUUAACGGAUCCUCAGGACUUGAGCUCAAACCUCAAAUUUUGGGAACAUGAAUGGAAAAAGCAUGGAAUGUGUUCUGAUUACCCUGACCAACCUCGUGACUACUUCAACUCUGCCUUACAGCUCAGGAGAGGCUUAAAUCCAGGUGACUAUUUCUAGUAUAUACUUAAUUAAACCUCACUCUUUUAUGAACCAAAUAGCUGGGAACUCAUGUUACUUCCACUUCCUAACAUAUUUUCUCUGAUAUGCUUUAAUUAUUGUUUGGAUCCAGUUAUGGGACUUGCACCUGGAUCAAAUUAUACGGUACAACAAGUUGCUGCUAAAGUUCAAUCAGCAGUAGGAGCCUUUCCGGAGAUUAAUUGCAACAAAGUGAAUAACAUAGUCCAACUGAAGGAGAUUCGUUUAUGCUACAUCAGGGCAACGCCUCCCCAGACGGUCCAAAACUGUCCAAAAAUUGGAUCAGGCGAUUGUAAAAACCGGAAUGAUAACAUAACUUUCAUUAGCUAGUGCUGCUCUCCUCAUAAAAUCUUUGAAUAAUGUCUAAAAAUAAUGGUUGUAACACUUCCGCUUGCACCACCGUCAAAAUUUAAGGUUUACACUUAUCUACCCGUAUUUUUAAGAAAUGUUAAUCACUAUCAAACUGUUUAAACGGAUAUUUAAAAUAAAUACGUAAUCAAUGAAUUAUCUGUUUUUGAAUUUAAUAAAAUUAAUGCGAAUAUAAAAAUUUAUAAUUCAAUUGAUUCAUGUAAUUUUAUAAUAUUAAAUAUAUUUAAAAUUUAAAUUUUAUGACCUAUUGUCCGGUGAAUUCUUUCGAAAAAAUAAUGCAUUUAAAUAAAUUUUUUUUUAAGUAAAAAUGAAUCCAUGAGAGAAAAAACGUCUAAUUCAAGAUAUUUCUACCAUGAGAUCAUUGUUCUCAACUUGAAUAUUAUCAAUAAUAUUGAGAAUAGGUUGCAUAUAUGACAAGUUUCUUGUUAGAAAGCUUGGGAAUUGGUUAUGCUCCAUCAAAGUCAAAUGAUGCUUGGUAGGAAGAAAGAAAUUUAAUGUCAACGUGGAAAAUAUGUUUUUUACCCAUAAAAUAUAUUAGUUGUGUGUAAUAUGAAUUUAAGAUUUAAUUUAAAUGAUUUAUUACUUAAUUUAUGCAAAGUUUAGAAGCUCUCUUUCCCAACAAACAAACAAAGAAUAUUGAUAAAAUAAAUGUAAAAUGGUGAGAAAAGAAAAAUAAGAAAUUAAAAAGAAAAGUUACAUAUUCUGUUUCUCACUUGCAGAAGUUAAACAUAGAAUCUCAAUGUGUAAAUUCAAUUUUCCUAUAUUUCACAAAAAAAAAAAAUUCAAAGAUAAAAUAGAUAAAUAAUCACUUAAUUUUAUAAUUUAUUUAAAUAAUUAUUUAAGUAUUAAUUUUUUAAAUUUAAUCAUUUAAAUUUAAGUAAAUGAUUUUUUAUUAUUUAACUAUUAGUGAGCAAUGAUAUAAUUAUCUUGUUAACUAUUAGGUGUCACAUGAUACUGACAAUUCAUCUUGACAAUAUGAUAUUAUAAUUUUUGAAAAAUAAAUAAAUUUCAACUAUUUAAUUUUUAAAAAAUUUUUAUUUUGAUCGCUAAUCCUUAUAAAUUUAUAAUUUGAUCAUUAAUAAAUAAAUUUUUAAAUUUUAUAAAAAAUAUAAAUAAUAAUUUGAUAUUUUUAUUAUGUGAAAUUAAAUUAUAAAAAAAUACUUACUCAAACUUAAUAUAUUAAAUUUAAAAAUUAAUAUUUAUUCUUAAAAUUAAAUGUCUAUUUAUGUAUUUUACCCAAAAGUCAAUUGUCAAUCGUAGCUGCAUUAAUGAUGUUGAACUAACCCAAAAGAAGAGGCUCUUCUUCUCAUUAAACGGAUGUAUCUUAUCAAAUAGGAGUUUUUUUCCCUACACAUCUCGGCGACCACAAAUCUCACCGACAAAGAUGACAAAAGAAAUCAGAAAAGAAUUUUUUGUGCAUAAGCGGCCUUGAGCUGGCAGCUAUCUUGAAUUGAUAAACAAAAAAUUUUAUUUUUCAGACUGUAACUUAUAUAAAAUAGAAAACAAAUUAGACCAAAUAAAUUAAUAUUUUGAUCAAAAUUUUGUUAAUUUUUAAAAUAUUAAUUUGAUACCCAAAUAAGAUGAUUACUGUAGAAUUCCCAUCUAGUCACGCCUAAUGAGAUUACGACGGGCAACAAUUUGAUGAAAUUAGUUAAAAGAACAGUACCAAAUUUUUUAUUAAAAAUAUUUAAUAAAAAUAUUUUAAUAAGAUUCAAUAAAAAAAUUAUACUGUGACAAAAUCUUCCCUUGAAGAUCACCUUUCUUUUUCCCAAACCCAAAUGUUCUCUUCAAUAUGUCAGUUUCAUUUUUUGUUGAUAAAAUUCAGCCAAAGUAUUAACACAAUCUUACGUUGAUACCUCGUUAUUCUUGCAGGUAAAUCGCUCUCUACUCUCAACUCUAAAUUUAUUUCUUUUUUUUUUUUUGUUAAUUAUUAUAUUUAAUUUUUUAUGGCAGUCUACUGUAUUUGUUCAGUUCUAAAGUUUCAGUUUUGUUUAUUUAUCUGUGGUCGAAGCUAAGUUCUUACCGCAACUCUGGGUAUUUCAUUUCAAAUAUUUUAAUAUUUUUUAUUUAUUUAAAAAAUUACAUGUACAAGAAUUUUCCUAUUCGUUAAAUCAUCACGAUAUCAACCAACUUAAAUAAAAAAAUAGAAUAAGAAUGAAGAAUGCUUAAUCCCUAAGUAAUCACUUUGUAGUUUUGUCAGUUUUGUCUUUUUAUUCAAUCUAAAAUUAUAAUUCAAUGCAGUAUGCCUUACCUCACCUAGCGAAUAUAAAUAAGAUCAUUAAUCAGAAACAGAGGAAAUAAAAAACAUAACAGAGGGAAAAUGCAGGGGUGGAGCAAAUGCAGAAUUGAGCUACCAGAGACGGUGGUGAUGGAAAUCCUCUCAAAGCUUCCUGUUAGAUCCCUCACACGUUUCAGGUGCGUUUGUAAGCGGUGGUGUUCUUCUUUUCAAACCUCUCAUUUCAGUACAAAACAUCAGCAUAACAACCUCAAAAACAACAACCUUAAUCUCCUCCUCAAACGUUGUCAUGGUAACACCCAUGAUGACAUCCAUUAUUUCUCUGCACUUUCAACUGAAAAAGGCCAAAACUUUUUAGUAAAAGAGAACAUUCACUUACCCUUUUUUCAGAAUUGUUGGUUUGCUCCUGUAGUUUCUGGUCCUUGUAAUGGAUUGCUGUGUUUACAUGACGCUGGUAAGGUUGCCCUUUGG
Molecule: long non-coding RNA, 8256 nt
Filed under: Durio zibethinus
Lineage: Eukaryota; Viridiplantae; Streptophyta; Magnoliopsida; Malvales; Malvaceae
Description: long non-coding RNA (DZIB_LNC000484)
Source: RNAcentral